GAUGAACGCUGGCGGCGUGCCUAAUACAUGCAAGUCGAGCGAACACACGAGGAGCUUGCUCCUCUGACGUUAGCGACGGACGGGUGAGUAACACGUGGAUAACCUACCUAUAAGACUGGGAUAACUUCGGGAAACCGGAUCUAAUACCGGAUAAUAUAUUGAACGGCAUGGUUCAAUAGUGAAAGACGGUUUUGCUGGCACGUAGAGAUGUUUCCGCGCCGGAUUAGCUAGUUGGUAAGGUAACGGCUUACCAAGGCAACGAUGCGUAGCCGACCUGAGAGGAUGAUCAGCCACACUGGAACUGAGACACGGUCCAGACUCCUACGGGAGGCAGCAGUAGGGAAUCUUGCGCAAUGGGCGCAAGCCUGACGGAGCAACGCCGCGUGAGUGAUGAAGGUCUUCGGAUCGUAAAACUCUGUUAUUAGGGAAGAACAAAUGUGUAAGUAACUAUGCACGUCUUGACGGUACCUAAUCAGAAAGCAACGGCUAACUACGUG
Molecule: ribosomal RNA, 497 nt
Filed under: uncultured bacterium
Lineage: Bacteria
Description: partial 16S ribosomal RNA
Rfam family: Bacterial small subunit ribosomal RNA
Source: RNAcentral